This 359-nucleotide ribosomal RNA is filed under the name Helix lucorum. Its description in RNAcentral is "partial 16S ribosomal RNA". It matches the Rfam family "Bacterial large subunit ribosomal RNA", at positions 1860 to 2621 of the family's 2925-position model. The record is from RNAcentral. Lineage: Eukaryota; Metazoa; Mollusca; Gastropoda; Stylommatophora; Helicidae.
UGCUCCAUGAUUAUUAAAUAGCCGCAGUACUCUGACUGUGCAAAGGUAGCAUAAUCAGUUGGCUUUUAAUUGGAGUCUGGUAUGAACGAACACAUGGGUGGCGACUGUCUAAAUAUAUUUUUCCUAACUUUUUAAUCAAGUGAAAAUACUUGUGCUAAUAAAAAAGACGAGAAGACCCUAGAAACUUGAAAAGUUUUUUGUUGGGGCGACAGAGUUACAUGUAACUAAUUUUAUUAAACAUGACAUUAAUUAGAAAGGAUAAGUUACUCUAGGGAUAACAGCAUAAUUUUAAUAGGUUUGUGACCUCGAUGUUGGAUUUAGGGUACUAUACCCCUUUAGGCAAGGGGUUUAAGAUGCCU